This 694-nucleotide ribosomal RNA is filed under the name uncultured bacterium. RNAcentral describes it as "bacterial SSU rRNA". It matches the Rfam family "Bacterial small subunit ribosomal RNA", at positions 32 to 715 of the family's 1533-position model. The record is from RNAcentral.
AACGCUAGCUACAGGCUUAACACAUGCAAGUCGCGGGGUAACGAGAGGGAAGCUUGCUUUCCUUGUCGACGACCGGCGCACGGGUGAGUAACGCGUAUCCAACCUGCCCAUUACCACGGGAUACCCCGUCGAAAGGCGGCCUAAUACCGUAUGCAGUCGUCAGAUGACAUCAGAGGACGACGAAAGGAUUGGCGGUAAUGGAUGGGGAUGCGUCUGAUUAGGUAGUUGGAGGGGUAACGGCCCACCAAGCCAUCGAUCAGUAGGGGUUCUGAGAGGAAGGUCCCCCACAUUGGAACUGAGACACGGUCCAAACUCCUACGGGAGGCAGCAGUGAGGAAUAUUGGUCAAUGGGCGAGAGCCUGAACCAGCCAAGUAGCGUGCAGGAUGACGGCCCUAUGGGUUGUAAACUGCUUUUAUAAGGGAAUAAAGUGAGCCUCGUGAGGCUUUUUGCAUGUACCUUAUGAAUAAGGAUCGGCUAACUCCGUGCCAGCAGCCGCGGUAAUACGGAGGAUCCGAGCGUUAUCCGGAUUUAUUGGGUUUAAAGGGUGCGUAGGUGGUUUGAUAAGUCAGCGGUGAAAGUUUGCAGCUUAACUGUAAAAAUGCCGUUGAAACUGUCGGACUUGAGUGUAAAUGAGGUAGGCGGAAUGCGUGGUGUAGCGGUGAAAUGCAUAGAUAUCACGAAGAACUCCGAUUG